Molecule: ribosomal RNA, 506 nt
Filed under: uncultured bacterium
Lineage: Bacteria
Description: partial 16S ribosomal RNA
Rfam family: Bacterial small subunit ribosomal RNA
Source: RNAcentral
AUUGAACGCUGGCGGCAGGCCUAACACAUGCAAGUCGAACGGUAACAGGAAGCAGCUUGCUGCUUCGCUGACGAGUGGCGGACGGGUGAGUAAUGUCUGGGAAACUGCCUGAUGGAGGGGGAUAACUACUGGAAACGGUAGCUAAUACCGCAUAACGUCGCAAGACCAAAGAGGGGGACCUUCGGGCCUCUUGCCAUCGGAUGUGCCCAGAUGGGAUUAGCUAGUAGGUGGGGUAACGGCUCACCUAGGCGACGAUCCCUAGCUGGUCUGAGAGGAUGACCAGCCACACUGGAACGGAGACACGGUCCAGACUCCUACGGGAGGCAGCAGUGGGGAAUAUUGCACAAUGGGCGCAAGCCUGAUGCAGCCAUGCCGCGUGUAUGAAGAAGGCCUUCGGGUUGUAAAGUACUUUCAGCGGGGAGGAAGGCGAUAAGGUUAAUAACCUUGUCGAUUGACGUUACCCGCAGAAGAAGCACCGGCUAACUCCGUGCCAGCCGCAGUAACAC